AGCGCGCUGGCACGGUUCGCGGCCGCACGCUGGUGCCGGUCGCUGGCGACCCUGCUCGGCGCCGGCGUGCCGCUCGCCGAUGCGUUC
Molecule: transfer RNA, 87 nt
Filed under: Burkholderia cenocepacia
Lineage: Bacteria; Pseudomonadati; Pseudomonadota; Betaproteobacteria; Burkholderiales; Burkholderiaceae
Description: tRNA-Thr
Source: RNAcentral